CCGUGGGGGCUAAGCUUCAUUGGUCAAAAGGAGAAGAGUCCUUGAUCUCAAGUUAAGGUCCCAAAAUCUACGUUCAGUGCAUCACAAGGAGGUGGAAUCUCACAGACAAUGAGGAUGUUGGCUUAGAAGCAGCCAUCAUUCAAAGAAAGCGUAACAGCUCACUCAUCGAGAGAUUCUGCGCCGAAGAUAAUCGGGGCUUAAACGUAGUACCGAAACUGAGGGCUUGCGCGUUCCUUCGGGAGCGCCAAGCGGUAGGAGAGCAUUCGCAUCUGCGAUGAAGGUAAAGGGGUGACCCAUACUGGAGCGUACGGAAGUAAGAAUGUUGGCACAAGUAACCGCAAUCCCAGUGAGAUCCUGGGACGCCGAAAGACUAAGGUUUCCUUGGCGAUGUUGAUCAGCCAAGGGUUAGUCGGGCCUAAGGUGAUGGCGAAAGCCGAAACCGAUGGACACAUGGUUAAUAUUCCAUGACUCCAACGCGGUGCGAUGGGGGGACGAAGUUUAGUAUACUUUGCGCAUUAUUGGAUUUGCGUUUGUGCUCGAAGGAAGGUUUCCAGGAAAAUCCGGUACCUGCUUUUAAUGGCAAUUCCAACGAGAAUGAAAAUUCUUUCCGUUCGCGGAGAGAAAAUAGAGUAAAGCAGACUUCCGAGAAAAACCUCUAAGCAUAACCGCGGUGGAACCGUACCGUAAACCGACACAGGUAGUCUGGUCGAGAAGACUAAGGCGAACGAGUGAUUGUUUCCCAAGGAACUCGGCAAAAAAGCAGCCGUAACUUCGGAAUAAGGCUUGCCCCCAUUCGCAAGAAUGUGGGGCCGCAGCGAAAGUAUCCCUGGCAACUGUUUACCAAAAACACAGCUCCCUGCGAACUCGUAAGAGGAUGUAUAGGGGGUGACGCCUGACCAAUGCCAGAAGGUCAAAUAUCGGUGGUGUGUGCAUCACAUUGCAUGUGAUGCCGUAAAUGUAAAAUGCAAAUAUCAAAAUGAAAAAUUGCGGAGUAAGUUUUCUUUAAGAAAAUUUACAAAUAAUAGUUUAUUCGCCAUAAGGCGAAUUCCAUAAUUUUAAACUUUGAUUUUUUAACUUUACAUUUACGAGCAUCGUGCGCAGCGUGAUGCAUAUGCUGACUGAUAUAAGCCCUGGUGAAUGUCGGCCGUAACUAUAAAGUAGGACGUUGUAGUUACGCAAAUAAAUUUGACUGUAUGCUGGAAACUCCUUAGAGCUUCAAGUGCGAAACAGAAUCUGAAAAGAUAAACUGCCAAGCAAAAAUCUUGAAGAUUGGACAAUCAGCAGGAAAGAUUCCUAAAAUUCAAAAGAAUUAUGGAAAAUCCUCAGAGACUAUACGUCAAACAUUCUUAAGGCAAGCACAUGCCGACCGCCUUAAGGUAAAGAUAUAGUCCGAUCUUUGCAGUAAUGCAAAGUUAACACAAUAUGAACGGUCCUAAGGUAGCGAAAUUCCUUGUCUGGUAAGUUCAGACGUGCACGAAUGGCGUAAUGACUGGGGAACUGUCUCGGGAAAUAGCUCGGUGAAAAUACAAUACCGGUGAAGAUGCCGGUUACCUGCAGUUAGACGAAAAGACCCCAGAAGCUUUACUAUAACUUGGUAUUGAGUAUGUUUUUCGGCUGCGUAGCAUAGGCGGGAGACUUUGAAGUUCAGAUCUUGGUUUGAAUGGAGUCGCCAGUGCAAUACCGCCCUUUCGGCAGGCAUAUUCUAACUUGUACGGCAAAAACGUACAGAGACAGUAUCUGGUGGGUAGUUUUGGUGGGGCGCUAUCCUCCUAAAAAGUAUCGGAGGAGUUUAUUAAGGUUCCCUAGGCGCGAAUGGAAACCGUGCCGAUAGUGUAAUGGCACAAGGGAGCUUGACUGUGAGGUGUACAUACCGAACAGGUGCGAAAGCAGAACAUAGUGAACCGACGGUUCGCAUUAGAUGCGGCCGGAGAUUAACGGAUAAAAGCUACUCUGGGGAUAACAGGCUAGUUCCGCCCAAGAGUUCAUAUCGACGGCGGAGUUCGGCACCUCGAUGUCGGCUCAUCUUAUCCUGGGGCUGGAGAAGGUCCCAAGGGUUUGGCUGUUCGCCAAUUAAAAAGGUACGUGAGCUGGGUUCAGACCGUAGAGGAGUGAAUUACAAAGAUAUGUUUUCUUCUUUGUAAUUGACUUCUCUUAGUCUGAACCCGAGGAGAUAAGACUAAACUUAUCAAAAAGACAUUUAUCACGGCGGCUCCGAUUAGAAAUAAUCGCGAGACAAGCCAACUAAUAUCGGGAAAUCCCGACAGACGCGGAUGAUUGCGGACUAAACGCAGACUGACGCGGAAAGGGUAAUUCCGAGGGAAGAGUUAGUUAAAAGUUCAUAAAGUCCGCAAAGUUUUUAAAGUAGAUGCAUUCAUAUCUCCUUUAUAAACUUUUAACUUUGUAACUCUAUAAACUUAUUCGCCCGUAGAGACUAAACGUUGGCACGCUUACUAAAAAUAAGUGCAUGCUAUAGUCCGAUCCCUUCAGCAAUGAAGGUUCUUGCAUAACGAGACCACGGCAAGAUGUAAAACAGAAAUGCGUGAGACAGGUUGGUCUCCUAUCUACUGCAGGCGUUGAUUCUUGAGGAGAUUUGCUUCUAGUACGAGAGGACCGAAGUGAACUGACCUCUGGUGUGUCGGCUGUUCCGCCAGGAGCAUUGCCGAGUAGCUAAGUCGGGAAUGGAUAACCUCUGAAAGCAUCUAAGAGGGAAGCCAACUCCAAGAUUAGGAAUCGUUAUGAGACCCCUAGGAGAUGACUAGGUUGAUAGGCUUUAGGUGUACGUAGAGUAAUCUACUAAGCCGAGAAGUACUAAUUCGUCCAUCAUUUCCUAUUA
This 2833-nucleotide ribosomal RNA is filed under the name bacterium. RNAcentral describes it as "partial 23S ribosomal RNA". It matches the Rfam family "Bacterial large subunit ribosomal RNA", at positions 989 to 2925 of the family's 2925-position model. The record is from RNAcentral.